This 200-nucleotide ribosomal RNA is filed under the name uncultured bacterium. RNAcentral's name for it is "partial 16S ribosomal RNA". It matches the Rfam family "Bacterial small subunit ribosomal RNA", at positions 30 to 228 of the family's 1533-position model. The record is from RNAcentral.
AUUGAACGCUGGCGGAAUGCUUUACACAUGCAAGUCGAACGAUGAACCUUAGCUUGCUAGGGGGAUUAGUGGCGAACGGGUGAGUAAUAUAUCGGAACGUGCCUUGUAAUGGGGGGAUAACUAGUCGAAAGAUUAGCUAAUACCGCAUACGCCCUGAGGGGGGAAAGUAGGGGAUCUUCGGACCUUACGUUAUAAGAGCG